GACGAACGCUGGCGGCGUGCCUAAUACAUGCAAGUUGAGCGCUGAAGGUUGGUACUUGUACCAACUGGAUGAGCAGCGAACGGGUGAGUAACGCGUGGGGAAUCUGCCUUUGAGCGGGGGACAACAUUUGGAAACGAAUGCUAAUACCGAAUAAAAACUUUAAACACAAGUUUUAAGUUUGAAAGAUGCAAUUGCAUCACUCAAAGAUGAUCCCGCGUUGUAUUAGCUAGUUGGUGAGGUAAAGGCUCACCAAGGCGAUGAUACAUAGCCGACCUGAGAGGGUGAUCGGCCACAUUGGGACUGAGACACGGCCCAAACUCCUACGGGAGGCAGCAGUAGGGAAUCUUCGGCAAUGGACGAAAGUCUGACCGAGCAACGCCGCGUGAGUGAAGAAGGUUUUCGGAUCGUAAAACUCUGUUGGUAGAGAAGAACGUUGGUGAGAGUGGAAAGCUCAUCAAGUGACGGUAACUACCCAGAAAGGGACGGCUAACUACGUG
RNAcentral lists this ribosomal RNA (497 nucleotides) under uncultured bacterium. RNAcentral describes it as "partial 16S ribosomal RNA". It matches the Rfam family "Bacterial small subunit ribosomal RNA", at positions 28 to 507 of the family's 1533-position model. The record is from RNAcentral.